CCAGAUUCAGAAAAUGCUCCAAAUCUCUGUCUCCUGUGAAGUUGUGGACUCCCUGAACUGCUUCAUGGAAGUUCCAGGGAACAUAUCUGACAACACAAGCAACAAUUCUUGGGAUCCUACAUGACAGACUAACCAGUGUAUUACCAUGGAAGAACUGAAUACAUCACAAUACCCUGAACAUACCAUCCCCACAGUGAAGCACGGUGAUGGCAAUAUGAUGCUGUGGACAGGAUUUUCUCACGGGGCAUA
Molecule: long non-coding RNA, 249 nt
Organism: Poeciliopsis prolifica (blackstripe livebearer)
Lineage: Eukaryota; Metazoa; Chordata; Actinopteri; Cyprinodontiformes; Poeciliidae
Exons: 3
Source: RefSeq, a predicted model, not a curated record